RNAcentral lists this long non-coding RNA (1229 nucleotides) under Homo sapiens (human). RNAcentral's name for it is "HSALNT0063425". Lineage: Eukaryota; Metazoa; Chordata; Mammalia; Primates; Hominidae. The record is from RNAcentral.
AAGUUGAGAGAAAUCUUACACUACAAAUUUGCUGAGAGUUUGCACCAUGAAUAAAUUCCAAAUAUUGUCAAAAGAAUGGAGUGUAGUGGCGUGAUCUUGGCUCACAACAACUUCUGCUUCCCACAUUCAAGCGAUCCUCCCACCUUAUACUCCUGAGUAGCUGGAACCACAGACAAACUACAAUAAAGCCAUGCCCUGACUGGAUGUGCCUAACAUUUGUCUGGUGCUUAAAGGAGUUGGCUGCAUGCGUGGAAAUGUUGGAAAGUCACCAAAAAUAGUUCUCCAAGUCAGAAGCGGUGCAAAAGCUGCCUCAGCUCUUGGUGGAUUUUCAAUUUCUCCCAGCCAUCUCUGUUUCGCUAAAGGUUUCUGAAGACAGUGGGUAUGUGGCAAACUUCUGCAAUUCUAUAUUAAGAUAAACUGUUAGAUCAAUUAUGUGUGUCAUAUUAUCUUCCUUCUGCAGAGUUUGAGAAUUAUAUUUCUUACCUGUUUGCUUCAGGGACAACUUGUUUGGAAAAAAAAUCACCCAGGGUUAAACAUCAUAUUCUUUAGAACCCAAAAAGCAUUGAUCCAUUUAUAUCCAGCUUCAAAUACCAUGCUAGUAUUCCCAACUUAAGGGCCACCAUAUUGAUGCAUGCUAAUGUGCCAACAGUUUCAUCCACUAUUUUAUUUUAUUUAUUUAUUUAUUUAUUUGAGAUGGAGUUUUGCUCUGGUCACCCAGGCUGGAGUUCAAUGGCAUGAUCUUGGCUCACUGUCACCUCUGCCUGCUGUGUUCAAGUGAUUCUCCAGCCUCAGCCCUCCCGAGUAGCUGGAAUUAUGGGCGCCCACCACCAUGCCUGGCUAAUUUUUGUAUUUUUAGUAGAGACAGGGUUUCGCCAUGUUGGCCAGACUGAUCUCCAACUCCUGACCUCAGAUGAUUCGCUCACCUCGGCCUCCCAAAGUGCUAGAAUUACAGGCAUGAGCCACAGUGCCUGGCCUCACCCACUAAUUUUUAGACACCAUUAGUGUAAGUGUCAUCAAAAUAAAAAAGACAAAUAAUCUAUUAAUAUUAUGUUACUGUAGUUUUGUCCUCACAGACCCUCAGGUAGCUUCUGGGGACCAUCAUGGUCCCACAGACCAUUCUUUGAGAAUUGCUAUCACAGAGAAAAUAAACCUUUGACACAUCAUAACUGCACUCUAAAUAUAGGAUUUGUAUAUGCUGAAGAAUUUCAAUAAAGAUCUGGAACAGCAGC